GAGGGUAUAACUCAGUGGUAGAGUGCGUGCUUAGCAUCUGUGAGGUCCUGAGUUCAAUCCCCAGUACCUCCG
RNAcentral lists this transfer RNA (72 nucleotides) under Camelus bactrianus (Bactrian camel). It matches the Rfam family "tRNA". Rfam says of the family: Transfer RNA (tRNA) molecules are approximately 80 nucleotides in length. Their secondary structure includes four short double-helical elements and three loops (D, anti-codon, and T loops). RNAcentral also lists the same sequence under 2 other names. Lineage: Eukaryota; Metazoa; Chordata; Mammalia; Artiodactyla; Camelidae. The record is from Rfam by way of RNAcentral.